UCACACAUCUGACUGUCUGCUGAAAUCUCGCCAUCGCUUUUUUAUUUCUAUAUAUAUUCCAUCUCUGCCCCCAUAGUCUUCUCGAUUACCGAACAUUUUGCCUUCUUUUCUGAUUAUCUGGAUCUUCCAGAUGGUUGAAGAAUCUCAAAUUUCGGUUUUUCCAUUAUGAUUGCAAAUUGUUGGUCUGAUUCAGAGGGUCAACCACUUCAUGUAGACAAAUUGUUUUCCCACAAGAAUGUUAAGUCGCUUUUUUCUGUUUAUUUCUCCUCAUUGAUUUCUUGAUUUCUGUCCUCACUUUCAUAGAUGUUUUAUUUUUGGAUUUGGUGAAUAUCAUGGCAUUUUCAUGGACAUGAAGUAUGACUUUGAUGGUGAACUGAUAUUAAUCUUUAAUGGCAUAGACUCCCACAAAUCUUUCGUUUAACUGGUAACUCAUUAAUUUUCUCAUUCCUCCUUUCUCUUGUUGUUGGUUAUUGGACUAUUUAAGGAAAUUGUCAUUGGUAUAAUUUUGAGAUACUAUAUAUUCUUCAGAAUACAAUGACUAGAUCCCUGAAUCUAAUUAUAUAAUAGCUUCAUUUGUCCACACAAUCUAUAAACACCAACAAGGGGAAGAAGAAAGUUAAUCCGUUACCAGUGAAACUCAACGAUUUGUGUGUCUAUGUCAUUGAGAUACCAUACUAAAGGGUUAACUUUUCGUUCACCACCAAAGUCCCAAUUCCUGUUCAUUAAAAUGCCAUGAUAUACAUCAAAUCCAAAAAUAAAACAACUAUAAAAUAUAGGAUAGAAAACAAGAAACCAAACAUGAGAAAUAAACUGAAAAAUGUUGUUGAACUUUAUUUUCUUGUUGGAAAAUGAUUUGUCCACAAGAUGUGGUUGACUCUGGAAUACAUUUGAAUCCAGCAAAAAAGCAGCAUUUUCCUUGGUUCAGUUUAACUCCUUCCUGCGAUCAUUGUGCUAUAAAGCUUCCUUUUAAAUUUAAUCUUAUAGCUAAUAGUAUCUUCACUAUCUUAUCUUUGAACCUUUCUGUUUGGUUCAGUUUAAUUAACUCCUUCCGUGAUUAUUGAUUAUUGAGCUUUAAAGCUUCCCUUUAAAUUUAAAUGUAUAGCUAGUACUAUCUUUACUAUCUUAUCUUUAUAUUUUGUUGUCUUUGACUCUCUAGGAACAGAAAGAACAUUCUGCAACUACUAGUGGAACCAUACGAAUUUUCAUCCAUAUGUGUCUGUUCUCAUGAAGUAUAUCGUGUUGCAAGUUAAGCAUGUUUGCCAACAGGAGGUUGGUAUAUUCAUGAAUGGGAAUCUUCUUGCCCCAGAAAUGAAGCUCCUUGAUGUGGUGAAGCAAUGGAUGGCUAUUGUUGCUUCAGAGAGAAAAAUAACCAAAGGAUGUUCUUCCGAGAACUUCUGUGUGAUGCUCACUUUUGCUCGAAGAGAGUAGACAAGCAGUGGACAACUAUUUUUGGAAUCACCAGGAAAACAUGGCAAUUGAAAUUUGUUUCUAAUGCUUCAUAAGGGUUUUGAAAAAGGCUACAUAUUUAUCAUUAUAUGAUUGAUCUUGAUCUUUUUUCCAUGAGAUUAUUGAUUUUUCUGGCAA
Long non-coding RNA from Lactuca sativa (garden lettuce), 1584 nucleotides. RefSeq lists it as uncharacterized. NCBI's taxonomy places the organism in Eukaryota, Viridiplantae, Streptophyta, Magnoliopsida, Asterales, Asteraceae. The record is from RefSeq and is a predicted model, not a curated record.